This 683-nucleotide ribosomal RNA is filed under the name Myroides odoratimimus. RNAcentral's name for it is "bacterial SSU rRNA". It matches the Rfam family "Bacterial small subunit ribosomal RNA", at positions 46 to 730 of the family's 1533-position model. Lineage: Bacteria; Pseudomonadati; Bacteroidota; Flavobacteriia; Flavobacteriales; Flavobacteriaceae. The record is from RNAcentral.
GCCUACACAUGCAGUCGAGGGGUAGAAAGAGCUUGCUUUUUUGAGACCGGCGCACGGGUGAGUAACGCGUAUGCAACCUACCUUAUACAGGGGAAUAGCCCGAAGAAAUUCGGAUUAAUGCUCCAUGGUUUAUCGAUAUGGCAUCGUAUUGAUAAUAAAGAUUUAUCGGUAUAAGAUGGGCAUGCGUAUCAUUAGCUAGUUGGUGUGGUAACGGCAUACCAAGGCAACGAUGAUUAGGGGUCCUGAGAGGGAGAUCCCCCACACUGGUACUGAGACACGGACCAGACUCCUACGGGAGGCAGCAGUGAGGAAUAUUGGUCAAUGGAGGCAACUCUGAACCAGCCAUGCCGCGUGCAGGAUGACGGUCCUAUGGAUUGUAAACUGCUUUUGUACAGGAAGAAACCUCCCUACGAGUAGGGACUUGACGGUACUGUAAGAAUAAGGAUCGGCUAACUCCGUGCCAGCAGCCGCGGUAAUACGGAGGAUCCGAGCGUUAUCCGGAAUUAUUGGGUUUAAAGGGUUCGUAGGCGGCUUUGUAAGUCAGUGGUGAAAUUUCCUAGCUUAACUAGGACACUGCCAUUGAUACUGCAUAACUUGAAUAAUAUGGAAGUAACUAGAAUAUGUAGUGUAGCGGUGAAAUGCUUAUAUAUUACAUGGAAUACCAAUUGCGUAUGCAGGUUACU